UCCAUGGAUGUCCUAUAAUGCCAAGCUCUGU
This 31-nucleotide non-coding RNA is filed under the name Homo sapiens (human). Lineage: Eukaryota; Metazoa; Chordata; Mammalia; Primates; Hominidae. The record is from RNAcentral.